This is a non-coding RNA of Ictidomys tridecemlineatus (thirteen-lined ground squirrel), 881 nucleotides long. The record is from RefSeq and is a predicted model, not a curated record. NCBI's taxonomy places the organism in Eukaryota, Metazoa, Chordata, Mammalia, Rodentia, Sciuridae.
CUCUGGGUAUUAAGCAGCAGCCUCAAAAGAAUUUCACUAAAUGGAAGAAAUACCAAUUAACCUUCCUUCCCUAUUUCCCAUGAGACCCAGGGGCAUUGCUUUAUAUUCUAGGAUCCUUCAACUGAGAUUCAGUAAGUUCCAUUUGUCCUUUGUAGUGUACAAACAAAAUCAGACAAAACACUAAGAAAAUGCUCAGAGGCUUCCCUCCUCCUGGGACCUGCCUGGCAAUGCCGGCCCUGCCUGCCCGGCUGCCCACCUUCCCUCCAGGGGCUUGGCUACCUCCAGCUGCCUCUCCCUGGAACGCUCCCGAGGGCUGUGCCCACAUCUUCUUUGUGUGCUGUGAACCUCUCUCCCUGUCCACAGACCUGUGCCGAGCAGGAAAUCUUGAUGGGCAAGGGUGCACGCGUCCUUUUGAGAAGCCUGUUUUCGGCGGACACAACAUCUUUGUUGGUAUGUGGUGCUGAGGAUCGAACCCGGGCCGCACGCCUGCCAGGAGUAAACAUUCAACAAGCAUUUCCUGACUUCCUACUAUGUGCCAGCUUCUGCGUUAGACAUUUGGGAACAGCUGUGAAUAUACCCCAACCUGGUGCUGGUUGUGAUGAGGAUAAAAAAGCAAAAGAUGUGGCUCAAGAGGCAGUGAGGAGAUUGAAUGGAGAAGACACUCCCAGACCCUGCAAAAUAAUCACAGUGCUUCUCACUUCAGGGUAGAAGUUUUCUUUGAAGCACUAAAGUUGUAAAUGUAGGUUUUGCACUUAUUUGAUCAAUGUCUGUUUUUCCUGGAAGGGUAGGAACAAUGUUUGCUUUUUUUCCCACAAUCUUAUCUCUUGUGCCAAUACCUGGCACAUAAUACACACUCAGUAAAGGUUUAGUUGCCUACAGGG